UGCCGCGUGUGUGAAGAAGGCCUUCGGGUUGUAAAGCACUUUUGUCAGGAACGAAACGGUGGGGGCUAAUACCUCCUGCUAAUGACGGUACCUGAAGAAUAAGCACCGGCUAACUACGUGCCAGCAGCCGCGGUAAUACGUAGGGUGCGAGCGUUAAUCGGAAUUACUGGGCGUAAAGCGUGCGCAGGCGGUUGUGCAAGACAGAUGUGAAAUCCCCGGGCUUAACCUGGGAAUGGCAUUUGUGACUGCACGGCUAGAGUGUGUCAGAGGGGGGUAGAAUUCCACGUGUAGCAGUGAAAUGCGUAGAUAUGUGGAGGAAUACCGAUGGCGAAGGCAGCCCCCUGGGAUAACACUGACGCUCAGGCACGAAAGCGUGGGGAGCAAACAGGAUUAGAUACCCUGGUAGUCCACGCCCUAAACGAUGUCAACUAGUUGUCGGGUCUUAAUUGACUUGGUAACGCAGCUAACGCGUGAAGUUGACCGCCUGGGGAGUACGGUCGCAAGAUUAAAACUCAAAGGAAUUGACGGGGACCCGCACAAGCGGUGGAUGAUGUGGAUUAAUUCGAU
Molecule: ribosomal RNA, 567 nt
Filed under: uncultured bacterium
Lineage: Bacteria
Description: bacterial SSU rRNA
Rfam family: Bacterial small subunit ribosomal RNA
Source: RNAcentral